RNAcentral lists this ribosomal RNA (1343 nucleotides) under uncultured bacterium. RNAcentral describes it as "16S ribosomal RNA". It matches the Rfam family "Bacterial small subunit ribosomal RNA", at positions 28 to 1378 of the family's 1533-position model. The record is from RNAcentral.
GACGAACGCUGGCGGCGUGCUUAACACAUGCAAGUCGAACGGAAAGGCCCUGCUUUUGUGGGGUGCUCGAAUGGCGAACGGGUGAGUAACACGUGAGUAACCUGCCCUUGACUUUGGGAUAACUUCAGGAAACUGGGGCUAAUACCGGAUAGGAGCUCCUGCUGCAUGGUGGGGGUUGGAAAGUUUCGGCGGUUGGGGAUGGACUCGCGGCUUAUCAGCUUGUUGGUGGGGUAGUGGCUUACCAAGGCUUUGACGGGUAGCCGGCCUGAGAGGGUGACCGGCCACAUUGGGACUGAGAUACGGCCCAGACUCCUACGGGAGGCAGCAGUGGGGAAUAUUGCACAAUGGGCGGAAGCCUGAUGCAGCAACGCCGCGUGCGGGAUGACGGCCUUCGGGUUGUAAACCGCUUUCGCCUGUGACGAAGCGUGAGUGACGGUAAUGGGUAAAGAAGCACCGGCUAACUACGUGCCAGCAGCCGCGGUGAUACGUAGGGUGCGAGCGUUGUCCGGAUUUAUUGGGCGUAAAGGGCUCGUAGGUGGUUGAUCGCGUCGGAAGUGUAAUCUUGGGGCUUAACCCUGAGCGUGCUUUCGAUACGGGUUGACUUGAGGAAGGUAGGGGAGAAUGGAAUUCCUGGUGGAGCGGUGGAAUGCGCAGAUAUCAGGAGGAACACCAGUGGCGAAGGCGGUUCUCUGGGCCUUUCCUGACGCUGAGGAGCGAAAGCGUGGGGAGCGAACAGGCUUAGAUACCCUGGUAGUCCACGCUGUAAACGGUGGGUACUAGGUGUGGGGUCCAUUCCACGGGUUCCGUGCCGUAGCUAACGCUUUAAGUACCCCGCCUGGGGAGUACGGCCGCAAGGCUAAAACUCAAAGGAAUUGACGGGGCCCCGCACAAGCGGCGGAGCAUGCGGAUUAAUUCGAUGCAACGCGUAGAACCUUACCUGGGUUUGACAUGGAUCGGGAGCGCUCAGAGAUGGGUGUGCCUCUUUUGGGGUCGGUUCACAGGUGGUGCAUGGCUGUCGUCAGCUCGUGUCGUGAGAUGUUGGGUUAAGUCCCGCAACGAGCGCAACCCUUGUUCACUGUUGCCAGCACGUUAUGGUGGGGACUCAGUGGAGACCGCCGGGGUCAACUCGGAGGAAGGUGGGGAUGACGUCAAGUCAUCAUGCCCCUUAUGUCCAGGGCUUCACGCAUGCUACAAUGGCUGGUACAGAGAGUGGCGAGCCUGUGAGGGUGAGCGAAUCUCGGAAAGCCGGUCUCAGUUCGGAUUGGGGUCUGCAACUCGACCUCAUGAAGUCGGAGUCGCUAGUAAUCGCAGAUCAGCAACGCUGCGGUGAAUACGUUCCCGGG